GAGUUUGAUCCUGGCUCAGAUUGAACGCUGGCGGCAUGCCUUACACAUGCAAGUCGAACGGCAGCACGGGAGCUUGCUCCUGGUGGCGAGUGGCGAACGGGUGAGUAAUGCAUCGGAACGUAUCCUGGAGUGGGGGAUAACGUAGCGAAAGUUACGCUAAUACCGCAUAUUCUGUGAGCAGGAAGCGGGGGACCUUCGGGCCUCGCGCUCUUGGAGCGGCCGAUGUCGGAUUAGCUAGUUGGUGAGGUAAAGGCUCACCAAGGCGACGAUCCGUAGCAGGUCUGAGAGGAUGAUCUGCCACACUGGAACUGAGACACGGUCCAGACUCCUACGGGAGGCAGCAGUGGGAUUUUGGACAAGUGGGGCAACCCUGAUCCAGCCAUCGCCGCGUGAGUGAAGAAGG
Molecule: ribosomal RNA, 403 nt
Filed under: bacterium enrichment culture clone ALO1_GLFRUDD03FVE9Y
Lineage: Bacteria
Description: bacterial SSU rRNA
Rfam family: Bacterial small subunit ribosomal RNA
Source: RNAcentral